AAAAUUUUAAUAAAGAUUAAGUACUAAAUAGANNNCCCAACANUAGUUGAUUACANUGAACAAGUUACUGUAGGGAUAACAGCGUAAUAUAUAUCUAAAGUUCUUAUUUUGAUAUAAGUUUGCGACCUCGAUGUUGAAUUNAUAUUACUUUCAAGCGCAAGAGCCUGAAAAGUGGGUCUGUUCGACCCCUAAAUAUAUACAUGAUUUGAGUUCAAAUCGGUGUAAACCAGAUUGGUUUCUAUCUAUUNUUAUUUGUGUCUUAGUACGAAAGGACCUGAAACAAUAUUAUAUAAUNAUUUAUAUGGCAGAAAAAUGCUUUAGAUUUAGGAUCUAAUUAUAAUAGAUUAUUAUACUCUAUUUAACUUGCCUAAUCUCUGUUAUUAGAAUCCUUAUCGCAGUAGCUUUUUAUACCCUCCUAGAGCGAAAAAUUCUAAGCUACAUCCAA
Molecule: ribosomal RNA, 445 nt
Filed under: Sancus acoreensis
Lineage: Eukaryota; Metazoa; Arthropoda; Arachnida; Araneae; Tetragnathidae
Description: partial 16S ribosomal RNA
Rfam family: Bacterial large subunit ribosomal RNA (bases 1-243)
Source: RNAcentral